CGGGUGGAUCCGCAAAGUCGGCCCGCGAAAUUCAGCUCGGAAGGCUGGUGUGGAUGUCUUGGUCGAGAUCUUCUGUGGACUCGCCGAGCGUUCGACUGCCGGUCUGACGUGUGCACUUUUCGCAGGCAGAGCGCCACGACCGGUUCUCGGGCAGUCAGAAGGCGGCGAGGAAGGUAGGCGGGCGCUUCGGCGCUUGCUGUUAUAGCCUCGCCUGUCCUGAGCUGCUUCUUGGGGACCGAGGAGCCGCCGCCCGGCUUGUAGCUACCCUGCUCUCCUGGGGGCGAUUCGAUUGGCAGAGACUGGGCAACCGUGUCUGCCGACUGCCCUCCUGGACAGAUCUGGGGUGCGCCAGUAGCUGGCCGGGCACAGGGUCGGUGGCGAAUCGGUCGGCACUCCACCCGACCCGUCUUGAAACACGGACCAAGGAGUCUAACAUGCGCGCGAGUCGUUGGGUGGUACGAAACCCGAAGGCAAAGUGAAAGCGAGGGCCGUCCUUUGCGACGUGCUCAGGUGGGAUCCCUGCUCUUUCCAGGGGCAGGGCGCACCACUGGCCCGUCUCGUUCGCGCCGUCGAGGAGGCGGAGCAAGAGCGUGCACGUUGGGACCCGAAAGAUGGUGAACUAUGCCUGAGUAGGAUGAAGCCAGAGGAAACUCUGGUGGAGGUCCGCAGCGAUUCUGACGUGCAAAUCGAUCGUCAAACUUGGGUAUAGGGGC
This 713-nucleotide ribosomal RNA is filed under the name Opisthostoma platycephalum. RNAcentral's name for it is "eukaryotic LSU rRNA". The stretch from base 420 to 713 matches the Rfam family "Eukaryotic large subunit ribosomal RNA", at positions 665 to 924 of the family's 3401-position model. The record is from RNAcentral. Lineage: Eukaryota; Metazoa; Mollusca; Gastropoda; Architaenioglossa; Diplommatinidae.